Molecule: ribosomal RNA, 301 nt
Filed under: Cladocopium sp. C1
Lineage: Eukaryota; Dinophyceae; Suessiales; Symbiodiniaceae
Description: partial 23S ribosomal RNA
Source: RNAcentral
AACAAAGCGAUACAAGGAUCCUAAACUUUUGACCAACUAAUAAGUGCAAAGAUACAUGUUUCGCUUAAUGGCCCAACAAGUCCUUCCCAGUACUUAAAUGCUAUCUUAAUGAGCUUUAAAUUAAUUUACCCGAGUUAAGCUACUCUACGGAUAACAGGCUUAAUUUCCGCAAUAUUAAAGGUCACAUUAUCACGAAAAAUGUACCUCGAUGUCGGCUUAUCAUCACUAAAAUAGGUAGCUUAAUUAUUGGUGGGAGUGCUCAUCCCGUAAAUUGGUUCGUGAGCUGGGUUCAAUACGAUGG